This 248-nucleotide long non-coding RNA is filed under the name Elaeis guineensis (African oil palm). RNAcentral's name for it is "long non-coding RNA (EGUI_LNC039107)". The record is from RNAcentral. Lineage: Eukaryota; Viridiplantae; Streptophyta; Magnoliopsida; Arecales; Arecaceae.
GUUUAGAUCUCGAAUCAAUUUCUAAUCUAAACAAUUUAUAUUAUAUCUCAUACAAUUUUAUUAUCUGCAGAAUCAAGUUGACUCACUCUAAUACAUGAAUCAACUUGUCAUAGUGAGUCAACACAAUACUGAGAAAAAUAGAAAUCUGUAGAUUUAGCCUACACAAUUGAGUCAGCUCAUCAGCAAACGAGCUGACCUACCAAGGUCUUGAGUUGACUCCAACAAAAAUAAGUUAACUCAUCAAGUAC